UGGGGAAUAUUGCACAAUGGGCGCAAGCCUGAUGCAGCCAUGCCGCGUGUAUGAAGAAGGCCUUCGGGUUGUAAAGUACUUUUAGUCGGGAGGAAGGUGGUAAGGUUAAUAACCUUGGCAAUUGACGUUACCGACAGAAGAAGCACCGGCUAACUCCGUGCCAGCAGCCGCGGUAAUACGGAGGGUGCAAGCGUUAAUUGGAAUUACUGGGCGUAAAGCGCACGCAGGCGGUUGAUUGAGUCAGAUGUGAAAUCCCCGGGCUUAACCCGGGAAUUGCAUCUGAUACUGGUCAGCUAGAGUCUUGUAGAGGGGGGUAGAAUUCCAUGUGUAGCGGUGAAAUGCGUAGAGAUGUGGAGGAAUACCGGUGGCGAAGGCGGCCCCCUGGACAAAGACUGACGCUCAGGUGCGAAAGCGUGGGGAGCAAACAGG
Molecule: ribosomal RNA, 429 nt
Filed under: Chloroflexota bacterium
Lineage: Bacteria; Bacillati; Chloroflexota
Description: Chloroflexi bacterium partial 16S ribosomal RNA
Rfam family: Bacterial small subunit ribosomal RNA
Source: RNAcentral